RNAcentral lists this ribosomal RNA (253 nucleotides) under uncultured bacterium. RNAcentral's name for it is "partial 16S ribosomal RNA". It matches the Rfam family "Bacterial small subunit ribosomal RNA", at positions 524 to 776 of the family's 1533-position model. The record is from RNAcentral.
UACGUAGGGUGCGAGCGUUGUCCGGAUUUAUUGGGCGUAAAGAGCUCGUAGGCGGCUUGUCGCGUCGUCUGUGAAAUCCCGCGGCUCAACCGCGGGUCUGCAGUCGAUACGGGCAGGCUAGAGUUCGGUAGGGGAGACUGGAAUUCCUGGUGUAGCGGUGAAAUGCGCAGAUAUCAGGAGGAACACCGGUGGCGAAGGCGGGUCUCUGGGCCGAUACUGACGCUGAGGAGCGAAAGCGUGGGGAGCGAACAGG